GACGAACGCUGGCGGCGUGCUUAACACAUGCAAGUCGAGCGGUAAGGCCCUUUCGGGGGUACACGAGCGGCGAACGGGUGAGUAACACGUGGGUGACCUGCCCUUAGCUCUGGGAUAAGCCUGGGAAACUGGGCCUAAUACCGGAUAUGACUCCAUGACGCAUGUUGUGGGGUGGAAAGCCUUGUGCGGCUAGGGAUGGGCCCGCGGCCUAUCAGCUUGUUGGUGGGGUGAUGGCCUACCAAGGCGACGACGGGUAGCCGGCCUGAGAGGGCGACCGGCCACACUGGGACUGAGACACGGCCCAGACUCCUACGGGAGGCAGCAGUGGGGAAUCUUGCGCAAUGGGCGAAAGCCUGACGCAGCGACGCCGCGUGAGGGAUGACGGCCUU
This 389-nucleotide ribosomal RNA is filed under the name uncultured bacterium. RNAcentral describes it as "bacterial SSU rRNA". It matches the Rfam family "Bacterial small subunit ribosomal RNA", at positions 28 to 418 of the family's 1533-position model. The record is from RNAcentral.